GAUGAACGCUGGCGGCGUGCCUAAUACAUGCAAGUCGAGCGAACAGACGAGGAGCUUGCUCCUCUGACGUUAGCGGCGGACGGGUGAGUAACACGUGGAUAACCUACCUAUAAGACUGGGAUAACUUCGGGAAACCGGAGCUAAUACCGGAUAAUAUAUUGAACCGCAUGGUUCAAUAGUGAAAGACGGUUUUGCUGUCACUUAUAGAUGGAUCCGCGCCGCAUUAGCUAGUUGGUAAGGUAACGGCUUACCAAGGCAACAAUGCGUAGCCGCCCUGAGAGGAUGAUCGCGCGCACGGGAGCUGAGACACGGUCCAGAGUCCUAAGGAAGGCAGCAGUAGGGAAUAUUCCGCAAUGGGCGAAAGCCUUACGGAGCAAUGCCGCGUGAGGGAUGAAGGCCUUCGGAUCGUAAAACUCUGUUAGUAGGAAAGAACAAAUGUGUAAGUAACUAUGCACGUCUUGAAGGUACCUAAUCAGAAAGCCACGGCUAACUACGUG
This 497-nucleotide ribosomal RNA is filed under the name uncultured bacterium. RNAcentral's name for it is "partial 16S ribosomal RNA". It matches the Rfam family "Bacterial small subunit ribosomal RNA", at positions 28 to 507 of the family's 1533-position model. The record is from RNAcentral.